Molecule: transfer RNA, 67 nt
Filed under: Echinococcus granulosus
Lineage: Eukaryota; Metazoa; Platyhelminthes; Cestoda; Cyclophyllidea; Taeniidae
Description: tRNA-Asp
Source: RNAcentral
GGUGAUCUUAGUUUAAUUAGAAUAUCGAUUUGUCUUAUCGAUGGUGGUUUUGUUUAUCAGGUUGCUC